UCCUUGUGGAUGAGCGACACGGGGCUGGACAAAGGAGGGCUUCACAACCUCAAACCACCAGAAGAGCUCGGCCAUGAACACCAGGUAGUUACUCUGAAAAGAGGCAAGAAAGUCAGGAGAAAAAUCAGGAAAUUAAUCAAUAUUUAAGGACCUUGGUGCUCAACAAAACUACUCAUCAUCAGGAAAAUGCAAAUCAAAACCACAAUGAGAUAUCACCUGGCACCUGUCAGAAUCGCCAUCCUCAAAAAGAAGUGGCGAACUUCAGGCAAGGGCACAGGAGGCGGGAAGGAAUUCCGCAGCUGCCAGGAACAGCAAGGCAUCACUCCUACCACGGAGCUCUGGAACCUGCAGCUCAGAAGCCAUCACGCCUGAGACACGUGUCUGUCUUCACUACAAAGUAAGCUCUGAAAGGACAUGGAUCUCUGAUCGUCUGCUGAUUCACCCAA
Bubalus bubalis (water buffalo) is the source of this 446-nucleotide long non-coding RNA. RefSeq lists it as uncharacterized. NCBI's taxonomy places the organism in Eukaryota, Metazoa, Chordata, Mammalia, Artiodactyla, Bovidae. The record is from RefSeq and is a predicted model, not a curated record. The transcript is spliced from 3 exons.